RNAcentral lists this ribosomal RNA (452 nucleotides) under uncultured bacterium. RNAcentral's name for it is "bacterial SSU rRNA". It matches the Rfam family "Bacterial small subunit ribosomal RNA", at positions 340 to 786 of the family's 1533-position model. The record is from RNAcentral.
UACGGGAAGCAGCAGUGGGGAAUAUUGCACAAUGGGCGCAAGCCUGAUGCAGCCAUGCCGCGUGUAUGAAGAAGGCCUUCGGGUUGUAAAGUACUUUCAGUCGUGAGGAAGGUGUUAAGGUUAAUAACCUUAGCAAUUGACGUUAGCGACAGAAGAAGCACCGGCUAACUCCGUGCCAGCAGCCGCGGUAAUACGGAGGGUGCGAGCGUUAAUCGGAAUUACUGGGCGUAAAGGGCACGCAGGCGGUUAAUUAAGUUGGAUGUGAAAUCCCCGGGCUUAACCUGGGAAUGGCAUUCAGACUGGUUAGCUAGAGUCUUGUAGAGGGGGUAGAAUUCCAUGUGUAGCGGUGAAAUGCGUAGAGAUGUGGAGGAAUACCGGUGGCGAAGGCGGCCCCUGGACAAAGGACUGACGCUCAUGUGCGAAGCGUGGGGAGCAAACAGGGAUUAGAUACC